GAUGAACGCUGUCUACAGGCUUAACACAUGCAAGUCGAGGGGAAACGACGGGGAAGCUUGCUUCCCCGGGCGUCGACCGGCGCACGGGUGAGUAACGCGUAUCCAACCUGCCUCUGACUGAGGGAUAACCCGUCGAAAGUCGGCCUAAUACCUCAUGGCAUCGUCUGCGGGCAUCCAACGACGAUUAAAGAUUUCAUCGGUCAGGGAUGGGGAUGCGUCUGAUUAGCUUGUUGGCGGGGUAACGGCCCACCAAGGCUACGAUCAGUAGGGGUUCUGAGAGGAAGGUCCCCCACAUUGGAACUGAGACACGGUCCAAACUCCUACGGGAGGCAGCAGUGAGGAAUAUUGGGCAAUGGGCGGGAGCCUGAACCAGCCAAGUAGCGUGCAGGAUGACGGCCCUAUGGGUUGUAAACUGCUUUUAUGCGGGGAUAAAGUGAGGGACGUGUCCUUCAUUGCAGGUACCGCAUGAAUAAGGACCGGCUAAUUCCGUG
RNAcentral lists this ribosomal RNA (491 nucleotides) under uncultured bacterium. Its description in RNAcentral is "partial 16S ribosomal RNA". It matches the Rfam family "Bacterial small subunit ribosomal RNA", at positions 28 to 507 of the family's 1533-position model. The record is from RNAcentral.